CCUACGGGUGGCAGCAGUCGAGAAUCAUUCACAAUGGGGGAAACCCUGAUGGUGCGACGCCGCGUGGGGGAAUGAAGGUCUUCGGAUUGUAAACCCCUGUCAUGUGGGAGCAAAUUAAAAAGAUAGUACCACAAGAGGAAGAGACGGCUAACUCUGUGCCAGCAGCCGCGGUAAUACAGAGGUCUCAAGCGUUGUUCGUAAUCACUGGGCGUAAGGCGUGCGUAGGCUGUUUCGUAAGUCGUGUGUGAAAGGCGCGGGCUCAACCCGCGGACGGCACAUGAUACUGCGAGACUAGAGUAAUGGAGGGGGAACCGGAAUUCUCGGUGUAGCAGUGAAAUGCGUAGAUAUCGAGAGGAACACUCGUGGCGAAGGCGGGUUCCUGGACAUUAACUGACGCUGAGGCACGAAGGCCAGGGGAGCGAAAGGGAUUAGAUACCCUAGUAGUC
This 446-nucleotide ribosomal RNA is filed under the name uncultured bacterium. Its description in RNAcentral is "partial 16S ribosomal RNA". It matches the Rfam family "Bacterial small subunit ribosomal RNA", at positions 338 to 795 of the family's 1533-position model. The record is from RNAcentral.